This 32312-nucleotide long non-coding RNA is filed under the name Lynx pardinus (Iberian lynx). Lineage: Eukaryota; Metazoa; Chordata; Mammalia; Carnivora; Felidae. The record is from RNAcentral.
GAUUCACCACUCCUGUAUAAAUAAUCAAACCACACAAGUGUUUUCCUGUAUUUUUUUCUGGAAAAAACAUCACAAGCAGCUAUUAGCGUUUUGGUAAGAGAUGAAGCUUUAAUUCCUAAUUCAUAAUAGUCAAAAUUAAAUCAUUUUUAUCUUUUUUUCUCACUAUCUAUGUUAGACUCUCUGCUGCCAUCACUGUUAUGAAAACAUUUGGAAUAUUUUAGCAAAUGCGUGGGCUUGGAAGUAGAUGAGAGGCAGGAAGCUGCACGGUCUGGGCUCAGAUUGGUGAGUUAAGAUUACCUGCUUCAAGCUGUAAGUAUUUGGUGAAUAGUUUCAGUAUGUUAGAACAGUAGCUAUGGAUUAAAUAUAUUCUUGAAAAAAAUUUUUAAUGUUUAUUUUUGAGAGAGAGAGAGAGAGAAUGAGUGGGGGAGGGACAGAGAAAGAGAAAGACAGAAUCCAAAACAGUCUCCAGGCUCUGAGCUGAUAGCACAGAGCCCAACAUGGGGCUCAAACCCACAAACCGUGAGAUCAGGACCUGAGCCGAAGUUGGACGCUUAACAACUGAGCCACCUAGACGCCGCUAAAUGUAUUCUUUGGGUCAACCAGGAAAACUCACCACCUGUGACAUUAUAUUGAAAACAAUAAUUUAGCAAAUAGCUUUGCAAAUAUAAUCUCUUUGAAAACUGGGGUAAAUCUGAGUUGUCUUUAUUUCAGAACAUUAUAGAUAAAAGCUGGAUCAAUAUGAGAAUUUGGGAAGACUUUUCUGGCUAACCUAACCAAUUAAAUCAAUUCCAUCCAGGCAAUAUAAGUAAAGUUGAUUUUCUACUCCUCAGGCAAGUUUUUUGAUGAAAGUGAUUAUUUUAGUAUUUUAUGGUGGGACUGCAGAUGUGGAACUGGACCCUACAAAUUUAAGUCAUUGCCAGUCCAGAUCACUUCAGGUGCCUAGUAAGACUAGUUGCUGUUUUUGUUUGUUUGUUUGUUUUUUAAGGUUUAUUUAUUUAUUCUGAGAGAGAGACAGCAUGAGUUGGGGAGGAGCAGAGAAAGAGGGAGAAAGAGAAUCCCAAGCAAGCUCUGAUACAGGGCUCAAACCCACAAACUGUGAGAUAUGACCUCAGCCGAAACCAAGAGUUGGAUGCUUAACUAACUGAGCCACCCAGGCACCCCAGGACUAGUUUCUUAAUGUUGGUCGUCCUGGCUGUCAUUGUAUAAAGAAGCUUCUGAGGAAGUGAAGGCUUGUCCUUCGUCAGAGAUAGGUGUAGUUGCCGCCUUGUAGAAUGGAGGUUUAAUUGAAUCACCUGCGGGCUUCAGACUCUGUUUAAAUACGUGGAUGAAACAAGAAAGAUGAUGCCUGACAAAGACGAGUGGCUUUGUUAAUUAAAUUAGCAGUGGAAAAUUUACAAGCUUUAAUUAGUAUAAAAUAAGCCACAGAAAUAAAGAUAGUGAUUAAAGCAGACUAAUCUGAUUAGAAUCACAAUGUGCGUUGUUACAGGCUAGUUGAUGGUAGAGACUCCCCAGCGGAGUCUGGCCAGAUGCAGGAACCCACUUGGAAGAAAAGGGUACUUUGCACCCAAGCCUGGAGCUGCCUGUUGGAUUGCUAAAUCAUUUGGCGGUGGGGGGGCGAUUAUGCCAGAAAAACACUGUGAGAAGCGUGGGCACUGGUGAAUUGAUAAAAGCCUUCUUUCUGGGAGAAAGCCUAUAAAAUCCAUGACCACCUGCAGUGAAGGGAGCUAAAAUUAAACUUCAGAACCCUCACUAGCUGAGCAAGAUUUCACCCCGCCUCUCAAAACUUCAAACUUAUGAAAAGUCUGGAGAGUCAGAAGGUGGUUAAGUUGUCCAUACUUUCUUAGUUCACACCCACACAAUGAAAGCAGUGUCCAUUCGAGACAUUUAGACAAAGAAUAUCCAAGUAUCCUGUGUGUUGAGAGAAAUGUUAAAUUCAAUGCAGUACAAAUCACAACAUUAAAUUACCAUGUAAAUCCUCUCCAAUGUUCAGUUUCUUGAUCUAACUUCUAUCAAAUUAAUUUUAGUUUAUGAGUGUAGGUAGAUGGAAACUGUCCAUUUCCCUUCCAGCAAUUCCCAGUUCUCCCCCUAUUUUCUGGUUUGUAAAGCUUCCAAUCACCUCAAAGCCGAAUGCUAAAACAGGUCACGUGUCUCCAUUAUUUUCUAUGUGCAUAUGCGGCAUCGUGCAUGAGGCUCUCGUAAUAUUUAGUCAUGCACCAACAGAAACCGUGACAGAACUUCACUUUUCAAACAAAUCAUAACCAAAGUUUUUAGAAGAUAUUCAAUUAUAUAUUAAAUAAAAUGGCCUGGUUUAUAUUGACUUAGGCUUCUAAUAUUUGGUAUCAACUAUUGUAAAUGUUUAUUCCUUCAGUAUGGGUUUAUUACAAGAAUAGAUUUUCCUUCGGUGUUGCAAAUGCUGAGACAUAAGAAGAAAUUCAUUUUAAGUGGCUCGUCUUAUGACAGAAGGUUAUGGCCAUUUCAAAUCAAAUCAUUUAAAAAAAUAGACAUUUUUAUUGUUAAUUUGAUGGCAUAGAUUUCAGCCACAAUUGUGUCACCGUGGUCUACUGAGAUGAUUUAGUUCAAAAUAAACCAACAUUCUUCACUAUAGAGUUUUCAUUAAAAAUAUCUACUAAAAGAAGAGAAUUUUCUUUGGUGCUUAUGGUUAGAAUACAAAAAGGUGGAGUGAACGACUGCCAAAAUAUACUUGGAUUAAGUUUAUUAAUUCACUUCGUUAUCUGUAUCUAAUUCAUCAAUUAUAAUUCACAAUAUAUAAUUGAUGGCUAUCACAAAAGAUGAUAUGAAAUUCAAUUUCAAUUGCACUGCUAUGCAUUUGAUAACAGAAAUGUUUUUUUCUCAGCCAAUGAAUGUUUGUUGAGAACCCCAGAAGAUGCAGUGUUCUGUCCUGUGCGUUGGUAUCUUUUUCAAAGAAUAUAUGUGAUCUGGUGAAUAGAUAGGAUACUUAUCUUUCUUAGAUUUUUAAUAGAGACACACUGCUAAUGUGUAUUCAUAUUCAAUACAGAUAUGUAGAGAUACAAAUAAUAGCUAGGUAGGACAUUGAUUCUUUAAGUUCAGAGUCUGUUCUCCCUUUCUCCCUCUCUUCUCAGUCUGAAAGCUCUUAGGUGGGGCUGAGCAAAGCGGGCAGCUGUAAGUGGCAAAGGCAGUGACACAGGACAGGUGUUGCUUGAGCAGGUCAAGGAUGGUGUCUGCACUGACUGGGGUGGGAAGUGGAAGCCCCACUGAGAGGGGUUGGGAUAAGCAGUUUUCCUGCACAGGGAAGGACAGGUGGAACGCUUACGGAAGCCCCAGAAAUGGGUGGAGAAGACCGACUGGGUGAAGAGUCCACCUGUGGGAUGAUUAUGGCCUGGCCUGUGGCGAUGGGGCUGUGGAGGGUGCAAAGGGCAUGUGCAUAGCCUGCCAAGGAAUACAGAGCCCAAGAGGGAGGAGGAGGCUCCCUGUGUGCGGGCACCGGUGGUGUGAGCCACCAUGGGAUAUAAGGGCUGAGAACAAAGUGAGGAGGGCACCCUGGUGGGAGACAAAGGUGAUGGCAGCAGCAUCUGUGUGCAGAUUGGAGCCCUGCAUGCAGACGGCACCUGUGCAGGGGUGAGGCGACUGUGGAGGGGGUGGUAAGAGAGCAUCCACAUGGGAUUAGUGGUGCAGUGGUUUGCUGGGGGCACUGGUCACCCUGCGGCGACUGAGUGAAUAAGAGAGUAUAAUGAAGAUAAAGAGAGACAAGUUUCUCAUUGUAAGAAACUGAGAAAGAUAAAAAAAAAAAAAAUGGAACAAACCCAUGGGGUUAAUUUGGAAUUAUGGUAUUGGUUUGAACUCAUGGUUUUCAGUAUAUAAGUAUAGAUAGAUAUAUACCUAUAUAAAUAAAUAUUGAUCAGGAUGUGGGUGUGUGUGUACAUCUAUAUCAUAUGUGCAUGCACACACACACAUAUAUUUGCUACCUGUAUCCAAAGAGAGAGCUUAAGAGCAAUGAUAUUCUUGUGUCACCCAGAUGCUGAAACCUAAAAUCCAUGCUCCAGUAAAAGAACUGGGAUGCCUUGGAGAAAUGGCUGAUUCUAGGACGGAUCAGGAUAAUUACAUAAUAAAUGUGAGGUAGCUCAUUAUGAUGGAAGAUAAGGAAGUACUCAAAAGAAAGAAGAGGACAUUUCAAAAAGACAUAGAAAUCCAGAUGGCCAAACAAGAGACAGGUUUAGCAUCAAAACAAAUAAUAAUAGUAAACAUGUUCCUUACAGUAGACUACCAACUGCUUAAGGUAUAAAAAGUAAGAGGAAAACCAUGUGGCAACCAUCGUAAUAAUAAUUCAGGUAAGAAACAUCAAUGGAUGCAAUGAAGUGGUAGAAAAUUUGAUGAAGGGUAGAAUAGGCUCUUAAAUUACCUUCACAAAGCAAUGAAGAGUAAUUUCUUCGGUAAAGAAAUCUGCCACACAAAACUUAACCAAGUGAUCAAGGUGAACAUUAACAUACAGGACAAAGCAAAAUGACAUAGCGCUUGAUAGGGUACAAUGAGACCAUAGCAUCACAUUCGCGAUAUCUCUGCCAAAAACAGAUAACCCAAACAUAAUCAUGAAGAAACAUCAGACAGCCAGAGUGGAAGAUACUUAUCUGAACAACUGGCAUGUAAUUUUCAAAGUUACCAAUGUCAUGAAAGCCAAGGAAACCCCAAGGAACCGUUUGAGAUUGCAGCAGAUUCAAGAAACAUGGUCACCAAAUAGGGUCCUCAAUUGGAACCUUUUGCUAAAACACAUACUCUUGCCCAGUUGGGGAAGCUUGUAUGUGGAUUAAAUGGUGGUAAUAAAUUAAUAUUAAGUUCUUUAUUUUGUUUAUUUAUUAAAAAAAUUUUUAAUGUUUAUUUUUGAGAGAAAGAGAGAGAGGGAGAGAAAGAGACAGAGUGUGAGCAAGGAAGGGGCAGAGAGAGAGGAAGACACAGAAUCUAAAGGAGGCUCCAGGCUCCGAGUUCUUGCACAGAGCCCGCCUCUGGCCUCCAACUCAUGAGCUGUGAGAUCAUGACCUGAGCUGAAGCUGGUCGCUUAACUGACUGAGCCACCCAGACAUCCCCUAGGUUCUUUAUUUUGAUUAUUAUAUUGGGACUUUGCAGGAGAAAAUAUUACUUGUAGGAAGUACAUUCUAAAAUAACUGAAGGUAACAGGACAUAGAGGCAGCAAAACUAUUCUGAAUGUUUGAAAUCAUUUCAAAUCAUUUCAUUGAAAAAAAUAUAUCAGGAGUCUAAAAUAGUCUGUUUUCCAGAGCUGCCUGUGUUAUGACCUGGCUGUUUGAGGGAGGAGGACAAAUCACUUCAACUCUUUAUGUUUCUAUUUCUUCACCUCUUAAAUAAGGGAGUUGGACUAAAGCACCUCAAAUCUCUCUAGAGGUCUAAUACCAUCAGGUUCUCAGGUGUCAAUCAGGAACAUUGUACUUAGGGGUUAGGCAAGAAGGGGUAAGUGGUAAAAAGCUCUGGAAGAGGAAUCAUCCUGGUUGCAUUUUGUGAGAGUGGAGAUUCGCUGUGUGCCAGAAAGAGGAAGAGGGAUUGUGCAGGCAAGGAAAGUGCUCAAGCAUACAGUCUGAGCAGAAGUUACACAACAGGAAGAGACAAGAUCUUAUCUUUUUGCUGAAAGACUUCUUGAUUCCCCUCCCUCUCUUCAUCCCACCUUCCUUCCUCCCUCUAGCAGUUAUUAAGCAGUUCCCACAUUCAAGGCACUGGGUGAAAUACUGUGGAGGGUAGAGGCAGAAAGGAUAGUUUCUGCUCUCAAAUUGUCUUCAGUCUGGUAGAAGAGGAAACACACAGAUAAAGCAACAGCAACCACAACACCAAAAUCCCCCCCAAACUCUGCUUAAACUACACCAAGUUUGCCACUCUGAGGUUCAGAAUUGAAUUAACCUCUUUCUCGUUCAACAAUCAUUCUCCCUCCCCUCCCCCAAAGCAUUCUUUCCCCUUAUUUGAUAGUUUUAUAGACUAGGUGACAUGUGGCAUUGAUAGCUGUAUGUUUUAUCAGGAAAAAAAUAAGCCUUGGUCAAGUGAGCAGUACUCUACAGACUAUCUGCUUAAUGCCUCUAGGAAUAAAAUGGAAUUUAUCUCUUUGAUUUUUAAACCUCAGAGAAACUCUGCUUCCCUUUUCCUACCACAGGAAAAACUGCAAUUUAACAAUUGAUACAUGAAAUGAUUAAUUUUAUUAGGGUGAAAUUGUGAAAUAAAAUACAAUGUGGAUUGGGUUCCUCUUAAUAUAAGUCAUCUUUUUAAGCUGGUAAAAUAAUAAUAUGUAUUAAUUUAUACAAUAUUGUUAUAACACUGUACUGUGCAUUAUAUUGUAACAUCAGGGAAUUUAUAUGUAUGCCACUGAAAAUCAGUAAGGGACUUAAUCCACAAAAUCCAUAUUAUUUUCUUUAUCAGUCGUUUUGGAAAAGACAGAAAAUUAUAGUGCUUGAAUAAAAUAUGUUUUUAAAACGAAUUUUCCAAAUAAAAUUUCCCCUAAUGUUCAUCCUUGUUCAUUAAGCCCACAUAAAAGGGACCAAAGCAGCCAUUAAGUGGAGGUUCAAUGGCUCUCUGUUUAAAGCGAACGCUACGGUUCCAACCCAUAAUGUGUCGAUUGUUUUGGAAAAUGCUAAUUGUUAAAUUGAUUGUGAUAUUCAUGUUCUGGCACUCCAGUUGAACACUGCACAAUGCCCCAUGUGAUGAUGGAGAAGAGCUUGCUGUUUGAUGCACAGUGCUUGGCAUGUCCACGUCUAUCUCAGUUGUGAAAGGUUGUUUCAGGGCCUUGUUUUUCUAAAUGUGAACGGCUCAGACAAGAGAACGGUAACACAAGAUACUAAAUUAUGCUUACUCCUUUCAUCAGUGAAGUCGCUCAGAUGAAUAGAUGGGGAGCAAGGAAACUGCAUGUUACAUAUUUAUAGUGGAUUCUGAGGGUGGCUGAGAAAGCCAACGCAGCAUGGUUGAGUGCAGGAUGUACCCGGAGUUGGGAACGUGGUUCUGGUCCUGCUCUGGCUCUCUCUGACUGUGAUAUUGGCACGUUACUCUUUGGGAUCUUAUCUAAGAAGAGAGGAUCAGGACAAAAUAUUUUCUGAGUCCCUUCCAGUGCUUUUACUAUGAAAUAUCACUAUGUUAAAUUUCUCGCUUGUUAUGGCACUUAAUAUGGAAAACACUGACAAAUAACUUCCAAGUAAUUUUUCAUCAGAUAGAUACCAAGUCCCUUUUAUGUUCUGAGAACUGUGUCUAUACCAAAAGUGUAGGAUUAAUACAUGUAGCAUGUGUUAUCAGGAGUGUAUAAUUCAGCCUAAUACUGGCAGACUAAUGAUAAAUUUAGGGCGGUGAUAUUAUAACAAGUCCCAUAAUAUAACUAAAUGUAAUGCACGAUCCCAGAUUUGAUGCUCAAACAGAAAAUAAAUAUUGCUAUAAUGAACAUUGUUGGAAAAAUUAUACUGAAUUAAUAUCAAAUUUCCUGAGGGAGAUAAUUGUAUUGUGGUUAUUUGAGAGAAUAUCCUGGUUCUUAGGAGAGACAUGCUGACAUAUUUGGGGUCAUGAUAUCUGCAACCCAGUCCCAAAUGAUUCAGUAAAAUGUAUGUUUAUACACACACGCUUAUACAUAUGUAUGAGAGAGGCUGAAAGCAAACACAGGAGAAUGUUUACAAUCGGUGAAAGUAGUAUAUGGAUAUUCCCCACCCCCCCCCCCCCCCCUUUUUUUGAGAGAGAGACAGCAAGAGGGGAGAGGAGGGGCAGAGGGAGAGAGAGAGAACCUCAAGUAGGCUCCACGCUCAGUGUGAAGCCUGACGCGGAGCUUGAUCCCAUGACCCUGGGAUCAUGACUUGAGCCAAAAUCAAGAGCCAGGUGCUCAAUGGACUGAGCCACCCAGGUGCUGGGUAUUGCUUUAUGAUUCUUAAAUCUUUUCUGAACAUAAUAGCUAGAAAAAGUAAUGUGUGAUAAAAUGUUACAGGAAUGCAAGGAUAAUUGCAUGCAAGAUUAUUAUAAUAGCUAGUCUAAUAAAACAGGAUGUUAAACCAUCUCAUUUUAUAAGUCUGCGGCCCCACAGAUGAAACAUAUUGGUGACAAGUGUCCAGUGAUUGAUUGUGAAGAGUAGCUCCAUUCUCAUCCCCCCCCCCCACUGGACAAGGUAAGAUGUGGCCCUGAUCAUGUCCAGCUCAUUGGUUUCUUCCAGCUCAUAGGCAAGAAGAUUAUUCUGAGGCACAAGAAUGGUUAAGUAACUUGCCCGAGGUCACACAGUAGGUGUGACCAAGGAGUCAAAAUCAGGCUUUGCCAAGUGGUCUCCUACCUUUACCACUCUAUAGUGCCUCUAAUAAUCUUAUGUGAACUCAGUUUGGAUGUUUCAUGUUUUCUUUUUCUUCUUUCUGUCUACUUUUUCAAGUUUAGUUUGGAACAAAAAUGUCCAAAGGAGCUCAAACCAUGGUUGGAUUAUUAUUAGUGAAUUAGACAAAUUGAAACUUUGCUGAUUGGAUUACUUCCACAGAACCCUGAUCGUUGUGAUUUGGCCUGUCAUAAUGAUUGUAAAUGGUUAUCAGUGAUUUAUCUGGUCAUUGAUUUUGAAGACUUUUAGAGCAAUAAGAUCUAGUAUAUGUAGCAAAUUGGGUCUUUAAGUAUAUUUUUUAAUGCAUAUAAAAUCUGUAUAUCUUAAAGGAAAUAACAUCCAAUUCAUCAUGAGGAGAACUGAGAUUAAAAUAGGAAGACUGAUAUUGAGCACACCUUCUCCGAGCUUUUCUCAGCGCUACUCUUAUAGGAAUGGUGUCUCAGGAAAGAUGUUAGAUCAGCUUGAGACUUAAGACUUCAUUUUGAGUUUAGGGAGCUGUAAGUAUUUUGGAAGAUACUCAGGAAUAAAGUCAUGAAAUUUUCUUUUCAUGUUCAUAAAAAUAUAAGGCACCAUCACUUAGACAAAGACACUUUGGGGUGAAAAUGGUGAAUGCUCAAGAGCCUUUAGAAAAAUUAUCUACAAGGGUGCUUUACUAUUAGAAGAGGAACUGGCAUGGGAGGAGAGAGGUUACACUUUAAACUUAAAGGAAUAUGGUAAUCUUUGGAUUCUGCAAUUUGGAGCAAACUAGUCUUGCAUUUUAUUCCUCUGAUGUUUGUUUCUUUUCACUGUGAAGAUUCAACCUUCAAAGCAGAACCUGACAGGUUGUGCUCUGCUCAUCCAGCCUUCUGGGCAUCUGUCCUCAGGUGAAUUAUAGCAGCAAAUCUGGGAGUUCACUCCUGUUCUCGGUGCUCGUUCAUCUCAACCGAGUGGCAGCAGAGGCCUUAAAUGAGCCAUAGAGAAGUGCGUGCCACAAACAUCUUCAACUGGGAGUUUUGAAUAAUGUUACUUUUAGGUUUUCAAAAAAGUUUUCUCCUGUUCAUCACGAAGCCUAAUGAAAGCCUAUUUUGCAUUCUGAGAGGAGGAAUUGUAAUGUGAAAAUGUCUCAGAAUCCAAAUUAUUUAAGCAGUAAUCCAAAGAAGUUCCUUGUCAGAAGCAAUAUUAUUUUGUACGUGCUAGAGAAGAGGAACCCUUGAGCGCUAUCCCCCCAGAACUCUUGAACAGUGACUGGUGUGUAUAUAUCGUGAAGAGAGUUACGCCAUUAAUUCUUGAUACGUAACGCAUUCCUUUCUUUGUAUCUGAUAUUAUUUUUAAUAGUAUUUCUGUCAAUUCUCUUGAGAUAACAAGUUGUCUACAUUGGAGACAUUUUUAUUCAUUUUGUCUGAAAUUUAUACCUUUUCCUCAUUUUACUUUCUUUUUUUCAGUUUCACUGAGAUGUAAUUGAUAUACAGCACUCUACAAGGUUAAGGUGUACAGCAUAAUGACUAGACUUACACAUGUUGUGAAAUGAUUCCCACAAUAGGUUUAGUUAACAUCCAAUAUCUCAUAUAAAUACAAAAAAAAAAAAANNNNNNNNNNNNNNNNNNNNNNNNNNNNNNNNNNNNNNNNNNNNNNNNNNNNNNNNNNNNNNNNNNNNNNNNNNNNNNNNNNNNNNNNNNNNNNNNNNNNNNNNNNNNNNNNNNNNNNNNNNNNNNNNNNNNNNNNNNNNNNNNNNNNNNNNNNNNNNNNNNNNNNNNNNNNNNNNNNNNNNNNNNNNNNNNNNNNNNNNNNNNNNNNNNNNNNNNNNNNNNNNNNNNNNNNNNNNNNNNNNNNNNNNNNNNNNNNNNNNNNNNNNNNNNNNNNNNNNNNNNNNNNNNNNNNNNNNNNNNNNNNNNNNNNNNNNNNNNNNNNNNNNNNNNNNNNNNNNNNNNNNNNNNNNNNNNNNNNNNNNNNNNNNNNNNNNNNNNNNNNNNNNNNNNNNNNNNNNNNNNNNNNNNNNNNNNNNNNNNNNNNNNNNNNNNNNNNNNNNNNNNNNNNNNNNNNNNNNNNNNNNNNNNNNNNNNNNNNNNNNNNNNNNNNNNNNNNNNNNNNNNNUUUUUUUUUUUUUUUCCUUCCCCUCCCCCAUGGGUUUCUGUUAAGUUUCUCAGGAUCCACAUAAGAGUGAAACCAUAUGGUAUCUGUCUUUCUCUGUAUGGCUUAUUUCACUUAGCAUCACACUCUCCAGUUCCAUCCACGUUGCUACAAAGGGCCAUAUUUCAUUCUUUCUCAUUGCCACGUAGUACUCCAUUGUGUAUAUAAACCACAAUUUCUUUAUCCAUUCAUCAGUUGAUGGACAUUUAGGCUCUUUCCAUAAUUUGGCUAUUGUUGAGAGUGCUGCUAUAAACAUUGGGGUACAAGUGCCCCUAUGCAUCAGUACUCCUGUAUCCCUUGGGUAAAUUCCUAGCAGUGCUAUUGCUGGGUCAUAGGGUAGGUCUAUUUUUAAUUUUCUGAGGAACCUCCACACUGCUUUCCAGAGCGGCUGCACCAAUUUGCAUUCCCACCAACAGUGCAAGAGGGUUCCCGUUUCUCCACAUCCUCUCCAGCAUCUAUAGUCUCCUGAUUUGUUCAUUUUGGCCACUCUGACUGGCGUGAGGUGAUAUCUGAGUGUGGUUUUGAUUUGUAUUUCCCUGAUGAGGAGCGACGUUGAGCAUCUUUUCAUGUGCCUGUUGGCCAUCCGGAUGUCUUCUUUAGAGAAGUGUCUAUUCAUGUUUUCUGCCCAUUUCUUCACUGGGUUAUUUGUUUUUCGGGUGUGGAGUUUGGUGAGCUCUUUAUAGAUUUUGGAUACUAGCCCUUUGUCCGAUAUGUCAUUUGCAAAUAUCUUUUCCCAUUCCGUUGGUUGCCUUUUAGUUUUGUUGGUUGUUUCCUUUGCUGUGCAGAAGCUUUUUAUCUUCAUAAGGUCCCAGUAAUUCAUUUUUGCUUUUAAUUCCCUUGCCUUUGGGGAUGUGUCGAGUAAGAGAUUGCUACGGCUGAGGUCAGAGAGGUCUUUUCCUGCUUUCUCCUCUAGGGUUUUGAUGGUUUCCUGUCUCACAUUCAGGUCCUUUAUCCAUUUUGAGUUUAUUUUUGUGAAUGGUGUGAGAAAGUGGUCUAGUUUCAACCUUCUGCAUGUUGCUGUCCAGUUCUCCCAGCACCAUUUGUUGAAGAGACUGUCUUUUUUCCAUUGGAUGUUCUUUCCUGCUUUGUCAAAGAUUAGUUGGCCAUACAUUUGUGGGUCUAGUUCUGGGGUUUCUAUUCUAUUCCAUUGGUCUAUGUGUCUGUUUUUGUGCCAGAAGUAUUUGUCUUUAUCUUAUGUCACUUAGCAUAAUGCCCUCAAGGUCCAUCCAUGUUGUUAAAAAUGACAAAAUUUCCUUCUUUUUUUUUUUAUGGUUGAAUAGAUAUUUUCCUUUUGCUGUUAUCCUGUGACAAAUACAGGCCAUAAUAUGAAUUAACCGUUGGUUGCAUUUAAUUGAUUUAUUAUAUAACGCUUGCUUUACUUUCUGGUUGGUUCAUGUAUACAAGUACUGUUUCUGUUCAGUUUGGGAGACAUGCUGGGGCCUCAACAGAGAGGGGGGGAAUUAAAGUUAUACAUAGGAUCAGGCUAAUGGAAUUCUCCUGUGGAGAGCUGGUGGUCUGUACACGGGGAAGGCUGGUGUUUUAUAUAACAGUGCCCAGGAAACAGUGGUGACCUUGGUGACAAUCCAGGUAGGGUUGCUGUCCAAGGGAUCUAAUCAGUUGAAUAGGACAUGGACACAGGCAGUCACCAGACAGGGGUAAAGAUGCAGUUACAAAGAUGUGAUCACCUUAGUUUCAGGGAGUUCUAGCUUUAAGGAAGGUCACAGCCAGAAAUUUAAGGGUGGAGGGAGUAUGCCUAGUCCCUGAGGUUAGAAGUUUGUUGGUAAAGUCUUAAUGCAUUUGAGGUCUAACCAAAAGGGCUAAAUUUCAGGGCAGAACCCCAGCCCCGGUGGCAGAAAUAGUAGGCUCUCUCCAGAAUGCAAAGGGUCUUCAAGAUAAAUUCAGACUGUGACCAGACCUUAGUCUAAGCUGGUGACUGGAUUAUGGAUACUGAGUUGGGUCAGAAAAAUAAAUUCCAUUUUUCUUUGUUGGUAGUCCUGGGGUUCAUUGCCAGUUAGGAUUUGUUCAGGUGCUUAGUGAGGCUAAAUUUUUCAGAUACAGGAUCAACAGUAUUAGGGAAGACUUCAGCGGUCAGGAACCAAUAGAUUAUAAAAUUUUUGAAGAUGCUUAUGUCUGUUUCUAUCUCAGCUCCCAAAGCCUGGCACAAGGCGGAUGCUCAGAGUAGGUGCUGAGUUGAUAUUUGUGAAUUGUGCAGUCUGGUUCCCAAAGGAUAUUAAGUAAAUAGUUACAUCCAUGUCAAGAUUUGCAUGUCUAGAUCUGCUUAGAAUGAUUCUAGGAUAUAUUCAGAUGAAAGAUCUAGUUUAUUUUCCUAUUUAUGAGAAUGAUAUUUAAAAAUAUUUCCUUUUAGUGUUUCACUUACUAAACUAAGUUAAAAUAUUAGCCCUUUUAAAAACAGAAUUAAACCUCAUACUCAUUUCUUUAUACCUCUAGAUCAGUUAUUAAGAAUGCAAUUGUGGUGAGGCUUGCCACAUUGAAAAAUUAACAUUACGGAGACGAUAUUUCUGCCAACUUCAGAGUUAAGACAUUGCUGUCAUUAUUAAAGCAGGAUAUUUUUCAUAUAUAUAAAUGACGCUUCUGGAAACAAUUAGAGUAAGUGCCGCUUGAACAUUAACGGGGGAUUUGUCCUAUGUCAUUCACAUUCCCUCAACUUAUUUGCCUUAGGAAUGUUGCACAGACUUACAUCUCUCAUACAUUUUGUCCUCAGGGGUAGUAUAUUUCCUCCCCCCCCCAUACAGCAAUUCACAAUCCAGUGUAACAAAGCAUGUAUAUUUUCCAUUGUAUUCCAUUAUUUUUCCUGCCUAGGGGCUCUGUUUCCUUAUAAAAUUGUGCUUGCUGAAAUUUCCUUGGUAGUUACUAAGUUCAACAUGCUCUUUUUUCCAUAUACGAGACCAAAACUCAGAGAGUUCACAUAACUUUUUGCCUGUGGCCCAACAGUUGCUAAUGCCUACAUCCAGAUAUCCUAUUUUCCAAACUAUUCAUUUUUAAAUAUCAUCUAUCUCAAAUUUGAAAACCACUGAUGAAGUACUUAUUUGAUUAUUUUUUAUCACCAUCUAUAACCAGUGGAUUUGUAUGAUCCCUAUUGCAGGCUUCUCCCCUUUUUGAGUACCGUCUACUGUUCUCUAAUUAACUCCAUUGUCAAGCCACAUGACAACAUCUAGAUAUCUGAAAUACUCUGUAACAAGUCUUUGUGUUCUCAUGAAGGGCAAUACUUAAAUGAAAAAAAAAAUUUUAGGGCACCUGGGUGGCUCAGUCAGUCCAGGGUCCAACUUCAGCUCAGGUCAUGAUCUCAUGAUUUGUGGGUUCGAGCUCCGCGUCCUGCAUCAGGCUCUGUGCUGACAGCUGGGAUCCUGGAGCCUGCUUUAGUUUCUUUGUCUCCCUCUCUCUCUGACCCUCCCCUGCUCAUACUGUCUCUCUCUCUCUCCCUCUUUCUCUCUCUCUCUCAAAAAUAAAUAUUUUUUUAAAAUUUUUUAAAAAGAAAAAAAACCAGGAAAACAUUUUUUAAAGUAGCCAAAUAUCCAAAUGUUUUCUAAAUUCCCAUGUUUAGGGACACCUGGGUGGCUCAGGUUGGUUGAACACCCGACUUACUGGGCUCAGGUCGUGAUCUUGCGGUUUGUGACUUUGAACCUUACAUCAGGCUCGCUGCUAUCAGCACAGAGCCCACUUUGGAUCCUCUCCCCCCCCCCCCCCCCCCCCCCCCCCCCCCCUCNAUCCAAAUGUUUUCUAAAUUCCCAUGUUUAGGGACACCUGGGUGGCUCAGGUUGGUUGAACACCCGACUUACUGGGCUCAGGUCGUGAUCUUGCGGUUUGUGACUUUGAACCUUACAUCAGGCUCGCUGCUAUCAGCACAGAGCCCACUUUGGAUCCUCUCCCCCCCCCUCUCUCUGCCCCUCUUCUGCUUGCGCUCUCUCAAAAAUAAGCAUUAAAAAAAUAAAAAUAAUAAAACGAAUUCCCAUAUUUAUGGCAUUCUGUGGAGAAAGUCUCCAGAUAAAUAUCUAUAAACUUCAACCUUCAAACAAAAAUGUCUUCCACGUGGAUAUUUCCUAAAGUCUAUCUAUGUUGUUCUGUGUAAGAAACUGAAAGACUAAUGUUGCCUCUGCAGAAAUACCAACUUAAUGUUUUUAAAUCCAUCUUUCAUAUUACCUCAUCUAUUACAAUGUAACUACAUUUACGUUUAUAUGGGUAUUGUGUUCUUGAUGGUAUCUUCUGAUCUGUAUCAUCAUCAACGUGAACAUUAAGCCCAUAAUUAAUGUAAUACCAGCAAAUAGAAAGUAAAUAUUUGCCAAGCAUUAUCAAUUAAUAUGUACUCUGGGCCACGAAUUUAUGUAUCUCUCUGUAUCUGCCUUUUUUUUCUUUAUAGAUGAUGUUGCAUAAACAUACUCAAAUAUUCUGAAAGCUCAGGUUAACUGUAUUUAAAAUCAUAUUUUGCAUGGCAAUACAGGCAGCAAUUGGCCUUGUGCAGGCACUUCUUUGAAAGGGAUACAGAAGGGUGCCUGGUUGGUUCACUCGGUUUGGAUUUCAGCUCAGGUCAUGACCCCAGGGUAGUAAAAUUGAACCUGUGUUGGGCUCCAAGCUGGGUGUGGAGCCUGCUUAAGAUUUCCUCUCUCCCUCUUCCUCUGCCCCUCCCUUGCUCACCAAAUGUGCUCUUUCUCAAAAAAAAAAAAAAAAGGGAUAUUGAAAUUGUCAUUAAUUCUCAUUUGCAUUAGAUUCAAGUGUAUAUCCUGAAUAAUGCCUCAUGCAACUAUAUUGCCUCAGGAUUUUAUAAAUUACUCCUAUAAAAAUAAAAAGGAGUUACUUGAAGAGAAUUGAACUUAUAGCAUACUAAACAAUGUUUGGCUUAUUAGUUAACUCAUGUAUAUAAAAUUAAUGUAUAAACAUUAUAUGUGUGUUUAAUAUAACUCUAUAUGUAUAUGGCCACUCAUUUAUGUAUACAUACUCCUGCCCAUAUAGUCAGUACCUAUUAAUUGAGCACUUACUUGAUUCCAGGCACGUGGCUAAGACAGGAAAUACAGCAUGAACAAGACAAACCUGGCACCCAUUCUCCUAGAUCCUGUCAGGCACAAGAGCGCCCCUAACUUCUCCCUCGGCAGGCAUGGCACAAAGACGUCCGUGCCCCUGAGCCUGGAUCUCCUCAGGUCGGGGCUCUUUGGCAGGGCUCUUUGACUGGAUCAAGAAUGGCAUGGGAAUCAAAACCUAUUUGCCAUUCCUGACUGUAUAUUUACAUGUAUACGUAGCAGGCUGUUAAAUUAGAUGUUUCCAUCUAGAGACCCAGGCACAAUAGAUAACAAGAACCAAAAUAAAAUUUGCCCUAGACUACCACGAUGGAAAUUAUUAAUUCAAGUUUGAACUUUUUAUUUGGGGACUGGUUACAUGAUUUGAGGUCUCUUUCCAGGAGCCCUUCAAGAAGAUCAAAAGUAAGGGUUGACUGAGAUUGGGAAACGAUUUUGUGACAACAGUUUCUCUGUAGAAAUGGUAUUAAGAGCCACAGCGCCCUUAAGGGGUACAGCCCUUUCACCUAAGGCUACGGACGACUUGGCAAGUUUGCAGUUAAAGGACCACAGGGCACUGGUGCCCCAGUCAGGCUCGAGAAAGCUGCACUGGCUUGUGUGGAAGAGAAGAAUGCUACGGUUGGGAAGAAAACGCAUUCCUCACCAACACACGUCAAUAGGGUGUGACUCCGGCAUCAGAGGGCAUCAUACUGAUGACAUUUAAAAAUGAGUCCUGCCCACGGGGUUUUCCCUCCCAGGUAAGAGGAUCCAGGUGCUAACUAGCCGUCCCAUCGGGGACAGAAGCUGAAGUGGGACUGAAAGCCACAGGCUCAAGGAGAGACACUGCCAUGUCACAGGAGUGGCAGUUGAUGGGGCCUGCAGAGGGAACUUCAAAGAACUCACAUAAGCACCUACACAGGAAAGUCAGCUUUAAAACACCUGCAAGGUCUAGACAGCAUGACACCUGCCUAUGACAGUGGUGGCCAUGUAGGAAGUACAGGUAUUUCCAUCAAUUUUAUAUCCAAGCUCCCCAAACAUUAGCUGGUAGAAGCAGAAAGGAAGCUGCUUCUUUCCCACUGCUUGCUACAGGCUUCAGCUGAAGGCAGAACUGAGAUUUAGGUUUAAAUCAAGUUAGAACUUUGCAAUAUCUGGGAAAGGAAAUUUACAUUGCUUGAGCAAAUUUGGUGAAGUUAUCAUAGCCCUUUCUAUUAUCUCAGAGUGGCCAAAAGGUUUCUAAAGGUCUUCAUUGUCGCUCAAGGGCAGGAGAUGGGCUGCAAAUACUGAAUGGGUUUAAAGGGAUGGAGGGAAGCAAAAAUAAAAUUGCUUAUAUAAUUCACUCAUUCAUUGAUCCAUUCAUCCAGUGAAUAUUUAUUAAACACCUUCUAUGUGCCAGGCACUGUUUUCAGUGCUAGAUACAUGCGAGUGAAAAAAAAAUACUAAAAAAAAAAAAAUCUUCUGCUCCACAGAGUUUUGUUUUUAAUUUUUUUUUUUUAAAUUUUUUUUUUCAACGUUUAUUUAUUUUUGGGACAGAGAGAGACAGAGCAUGAACGGGGGAGGGGCAGAGAGAGAGGGAGACACAGAAUCGGAAACAGGCUCCAGGCUCUGAGCCAUCAGCCCAGAGCCUGACGCGGGGCUCGAACUCACGGACCGCGAGAUCGUGACCUGGCUGAAGUCGGACGUUUAACCGACUGCGCCACCCAGGCGCCCCAGUUUUUAAUUUUUUAAAAAUGUUUUAUUUAUUUUUGAGAGAGAGACCAAGUGUGCAUGGGGGAGGGGCAGAGAGGGAGGGAGCACAGAAUCUGAAGCAGGCUCCCAGACGCAGGGCUCAAACUCACGAACCGCAAGAUCAUGACCUGAGCUGAAAUCAGACACUUAACCAACUGAGCCACACAGGCACCCCUGCUUCACAGAGUUUCACACUUAGGGAGUGUAUGUUUAAUGUCAAGGAGACAUAUACAUAUAAGCACACAAUGAUGAACAGGUGUACGAGUGAGUUGCCCAGACAUUCUAUUUAUUUUCUACCUUUUCUUUACAGUUUUGGUGAAACCCAAAGGUAGUAUAGAUAAGGAAAUCUCAUGAUUCUGGUCUUCUCUGUUGACCCGAUUAUAUGUGAGGCUGUCCUUGAAUGAGUUCUAUGAUCAUCUUCAUUCAUAUUGCCGUAUUCCUGCAUCAUGGUUGCUAAGUUAAUUACCCAGCUCUCCUAGUCUGCAAAGUUCAACCUUAAAGUACUGCUUUUUUCCCCAACUGUGUAUACAACUCAACUUAAUUUGGCUUUGGAUAUUUUGUUAUAACACUUCAGGUUUAUGCUUAAAAUUGUUUCUGGGGCAUAAAAAUGGGCCACUGUCCUGCUCCUCAGUACACAAGACCAUUGAGAAGAAAUCUGGACUGUGCUGACAAUUUCUGCGCGCGUUUCCAGGCAGGGAUGAAUGAGCAGGAUUUGUAUAACGCAAUUUAAUCAGGAUCUGGCUCGUCAUUUGCUUUGACCACUCCUCUCUCUUCCCCCCGACUCCCAAAUGCACACGGAGACAUAGCUUGCCCAGCAGUUCCUACUGGUGCAGGGCUGGACAAAGAGAUCGCUUUGACUCACAAUGGGAAGAGAAAAACGUUUAUGCUGAAUGCUCUGUUGUGGUGUAAAAUAUCUUAAAUGUAGUGUGCAGCUGUCUUUCUGAAAAAUUUGCUCUAUAAUUCUUUCAUCUUCACUUAUGUGUGGUGGACCUAACUUAAAACCAAUGAAGUCCAAAUUUUACAGUUGAAACAUUUUGAUCCUUUAGCAGAAGGAAAAUGAAGUCCUCUUGUAAUUAAAACAUUAAAAUAAUUACUGAUCUAUAUUUAAAAUGAAAAAUUUAUAAAACACAUAAAAUUUUAAAUUCUCCUUACAGACAUUUGCUUAAAAACUUUUUGGGCGUACCUGGCUGGCUCGGUUGGUAGAGAACGUGACUCUUGAUCUCGGGAUUGUGAGUUCGAGCCCCACACUGGUCAUGGAGUUUACCUAAAAAAAUAAUGUAAAAAAAGCUUUUUGAAAAUAUCAUGCCCAGUUUCUUCUCAUAACAGGGGUACCUGUUGCCUAGUUUCGGUCCCAUAGGCUUUUUUAAAUGCCAUAUUGAUGUUCCUUAAACUGUCACUUGAAAUUUUUUUUUUAAGUUUUAGUUCUCAUGUAUAGUAAGAGCCCUUCAAUGUUUUUGUCAAUGUAAUUUAGCCAUUAUGAACAACCGGUUUGGAUGAACAGUGUUUAUUUUAUACUGGGCCACUUCUACUUGUGAUAUGGAUAAAUAACAUUUUACCGUCAAGUUUGUUCAACAAAACCAUUAUUGCUUUCUUGCUGUGCAGACACGGCAUUUGUUUCUGCGUCUGCUAAAAAAUAGUACUUGCCUUUGAGAAGCAUAUCAUCCAAUGUGUUGGGACGAAAGAGAAAUGUAGAUUGUCAUUUAUACUUUUAUAGUGCAUAGGAUGUAAAUUUGUAAUUUUAAUAAAAUGUGUUAAAAGCCGAGGUAAAAAUAUGUGCAGAUUGUUACCUAUUUCUUUCUAAUUUCGAAUUCCUGACUAACUCCUAUUAAUGACAGGACUGGCACUCUGACACGAGACAAUAGGUUAUAAGGAAAGGUUACACAUAAAAUUGAUCAGAAAGACUGCAAAUGCUGUUGUUGCACGCAUGAACUGUGAAGGGUGCUGUUAAUCCUGAAGAAGUAUGUGUUAAUAAACAACGUAUAUUGAAUAUACUGAUUAAAGCUGUCUGAUUAAUCCAACAGUAAGUGCUCUAGAGCCAUUAAAUUGAGCUUUCAGAGAAUUAUCAUCUACUUGAAUCUUUUUAAUUUAUCAAAUGCUCCUAAUAUAUUAUUUACCACUCACUGGUUUUUCAAGUCACAAGAGUAAUGCUAUUUGGACACUUAAAAAUACAUAACUGGAGAUAAAUUAGCAAAAUAAUAAAUCAUCCAACAAUUCAUCUUACCUUUCUAACCUUACGUCAUAAAGUGUUACUCACAAGUAAAUCUCUGGAGACACUGAUAGUACAGUGCCUAGUUUCAAAGUACGUAUUCAUACAAAAUUCCCUUUGCCUGCCAGCUGGAGCUAGAAUUCUGAGAAUUGUACACUUCAAGUACAUAUUUAAGGAAGAGCAAGUAUGUCGACAGGCUGUGAUAGAAGAUACAUAAUGAACAGAGUCCAUACACUCAAAGCUUAAGUGUUCAGGGAAGUAGAAACUAUGUUAUGGGACCAGAAGAUUUAGGGAACAUUACAAUAGCCACAGGCGUGGCUUCAUCUAAACAUUAACAUUUUAUAAAAUACAAAAAUACGUAUUAUUAGUUUUAUGAAUAAAGUUAAGAAGUUUUUAGAUGGGAUGAGCCCAUAGCGGUUGAAAUCAACAUCACCUGCAGAUCUCUGACGGUCAAAAUGAUUCUCUGUCCAUAGAAUGAAUAAAUUAAAUAAAAUAAAACUUGCAGUUGCGUGUAUGGGUGAGCAUUUCAGUAUAAAUAACAUUAAAUUAGAUGUGGCUAUUCUUCUACAUAUUGCCAUUUUUGUCCUGCUCACAAUCCAUUUGCCAUUUCUCCCCCACUCCCAGCUCGCCCCAGGGAAGUAAGAUAGAAUCAGGGAAUCUGAAAGAGUAGUGUGAUGUGUGCAGGGAGUUGAGGGCACAGACAGAGCAGGAAGUGAAAUGUCGAGUGGGUACAACAAAGAACAGGAGCCCAGGAUAAACCACGGCAAGAUGGAAUCACGCUCUUUUUAGAUGUUACAUUUCAAGGUUGUUCCUGAGUUUUAUUUUUUAGGAACUCCUGGGUAUUUGUUGAAUCUGACCAUAAUUUGGUCCCUGGGGCAAAAGGGCAAAUGUUUUGAAAGAGUUUCUAUGUAUAGAUUUGGCGGGGGGGGGAAGCAUUUUUAUUCUUAUACAGAGAUUUCUAAAGUCAGUAGUUGGUUGACCAUCUGAGAAUCUCAGUCAUUAUUGUUGCUUCCCCAAUGAUGGAGGAAGAUAUGAUGCCAUUUGAUGCCUUGUCAUUUCAACCUUCUUGCAUCCGCUUUCCGUGAGAUGUUCCCUAAUAUAGUUUAUUAAAUCUGAAGCUGCAUACCCAUUAUUGAGUAGCUCCUAAAUAGUUUUUAGGCAAAGUAUAUCAUAACAGUUCAAUAAUACUCUUCUUACUUGACUUUAAAAUGCCUUCUCUUAGUCUGUUGUUGCAAACAACAUUUUAUUCUAUACAAUAUUUAGGUGAAGGACCAUGGGAAGGAAAUGUAGAAUUAGUUGUAGAGAUAAUGACCAUUACUAUAGAUCUUAGUGUGUUGAAAAGCGGGUGUCCUGGGCAAAUUCUACAGGUAGAAUUCAGACAGAUGGGAUCAAAUAUCUCACAUAUAAGAAAUUACCCCUAAAAAUAUUCCAGCUUUAUUUAGAAAAGUAGCUAAUUUUUUGUGAAAAUGCAGUUCUGUCUCUAAUUUUAGUGCAUCUAGACAGAGAAACACACACACACAUAUGUGUAUAUAUGUAUGCAUAUAUAAUAUAUAAUCCUAUAUUUAUGUAAUCAUAUUAUAUAUAGUCAUUAUAAACAUAUAUAUAUAUAUAUAUACAUACAAAUAAAUUUGUCAUCUAAAAAAUGUUCUAAUAGUAAGACUAUGGGAAUACCUUUGGAACCUAUAAACAUCAUGCUUUUUGGGGAAAGUGUUCAUUUUCUAUAUCUAUUUAAAUUAUUCUUUUGAAAAGCAUUUCAUAGGCUUUCUGCAUGUGCAGGAUGUUAGGUAGAAAUCGAAAUUAUAUUCUAGUUUGGUGGGAAUAUACCUGCCUUUAAUACAACACAAUGACCUCACAAGAGGUAUUUCUGUUGCCUCACUUGUAACUCUGUGAUGUAAAUUUUGACGCUUCACAAAUUGGCUCUGAUGGUUAUGACAUCAACAACUGCUAUACAUCUCCUUGGUUAGGUUACAUGCUUAAUUAGUCAUGUUUCAUUUCCUUUCUGGCUUUCACAGAAGUUUCUCUUACAUGACAUGAGUUUUGGAAGACAGCAUCCUCUGAGGACUCCCAUUCCCCCAUCUUUAGAGAAAUUCCUUCUUGAAAGAGGCAAAUUAGCACAACGUUGCACCCAGACAGGAAAACGGGGUUCUGGAUGUGGAAGGUGACUGCGGACAGAGAUUUCAAGAUCAAAACUUUCAAAGUAUGUUUCUGCCACUUCCCGUGUCACCUGCGGGAUUGCACUUCAUCUCUCUUUACUUCAUUUCACCUGUCAGUUAAAAAGGGCAUAAUAUUUAUGUUCAAGUCUUUCAGUUUUUUGAUUUUUUAUAAUGAACUCUUUGUUCGUAUUGAAGCAAGCCCAUAUUAUUAACAAAUGAUACGGUCACAAUGAAAAACUCCCUUCCUAUGCAGAGAGCCCAAGGGACAGCUCCCUUUUCUAUUUUUCAGCUGUACACCUUUGCAAAUGGAUGAGCCUUGCGCCACUGCCUAAAGGUCAGAAAGCAAAGGAUCUGCUGAUUCAGCAGGAAGGAUAAAACCCUAGAGUUUCCAUCUCCCUACCUAAAAUACCUAAUCUCUUCUUCUUUGUGGAAAUAAAACCUGGGAACACUUAGGGAAGACCAAAGUUUUAUUUUUGCUGAGACCCCAAAGUUUUGUCCAUAGUGUCUGUCUUCUGGGACUCUAUUAUUCUGGUAGCUGCACCAGAGAAAUAAGAGUUCAGGUGUAGCUCACCCAGCUCUCAAAGGUUCUUAGAACAGGUUCUAAGAACAGGUUCUAAGAACAGGUUCUAAGAACAAAGGUUCUUAGAACAGGUUUUAUUUUUGCUGAGACCCCAAAGUUUUGUCCAUAGUGUCUGUCUUCUGGGACUCUAUUAUUCUGGUAGCUGCACCAGAGAAAUAAGAGUUCAGGUGUAGCUCACCCAGCUCUCAAAGGUUCUUAGAACCACAGUCUUCACCACUGUGCACAACUCAAGGAAGCUUUCUCCUGCAGUUGUUUGUUCAUUUAGAAUGAGGGAAUACACAUAAACUCCUGACCCAUUGGACUGAUGGAGUCCAAAUUUUGAAAAUAUCUUCCCAUUUUAUUCUUUUUCUUAUCUCUCAUCUGGUGUUGUCACUCCAAUGAAGAAUACUAACACCAAAGAUCUUUUUUUUUUUAUGUUUAUUUCUUUCUUUUGAGAGAGAGAGAGCACGGAGAAGGGACAAAGAGGGAGACAGAGAAUCCCAAGCAGGCUCCAGGCUGUCAGUGCAGAGCCCGACAGGGGGCUCAAAUUCAUGAACUGCUUGAUCAAAACUGAGCAAAAAUGAAGAGUAGGAUACUUAAUCUAAUGAGCCAUCCCAGGUGCCUUAAACUAAAACUAAACUAAAAACUAAAGAUCUUAAAGCUAAAGUACUUAAUUCUAAUUACCAUUUUGGAGCUAACAGUUUUUAGGGGGGCAAAACUAUCACAAACACUAAAAUUAGAUUUGGGGACUGUUUCCAUUAUAAUUGUAAAUUUUCUUCACAUUAUUACCAGCCUACUUCUUUCAGUAAUAUAAUGAGGAAUACUAUGGCCAUCACUGUUUAAGUCUAUGAUUUAAAGUGUGUUUACUAUUUCCCAUGUAGCAUUAAGCACUAAACUAAGAAUUUCACCUGCCGAACUUGAAUUUCACUUGACAGCCAUAGCAGGUGGCCACUGUUACUGUCCUCAUUUUAUAGAUGAGGUGUAAGAGGUUAAGAAGCAUUUACAAGGUCCCAUCCCAGUAAUUGGCUGAAAGAGCACUGAGACUCAGGUUCGUCUACCUUCAAAACUAUCUGUGCCCUCUCCUGAUGACCAUGCAAUGCUCUGUUAAAUAGCAUGAUGCACUACUGGUUAAAGACUUCUCAUGUGAAUAUUUUUUCGCUGAUUUAGGGUUACAAUAAUCCCAUAAAAUAGACUGUCGAUGUAAUAAAAAUUGCCAAUGUAGUCUGUACAUUUUAUAGCCUGAUGAAUAAAAGAAACCUCUCCUCUUCUACGUGAGCAGGAGAGUGGCUUGUUUGGGUAGGUCUCCUCUUGUGCCUGAUUCCCCAAAACUGUAGCCUCUAUGUUUCUAAUCUCUGCAGAAUUCCCUAGUCUGCUACUGUGGCAGGAAGAAGGCAUGGGAAAGACGCAGUCAUCGAUUAUGUGAGAAAAAGGAUUGAAAUGAGAGACACAACCUGUCAAAAUUUCUUCUUAACCACUAUGAAUGCCUCAACAUCGGUCAGAUGUUCUUUUGUGUGUUUCUCAAAAGUGUGCUUACUGAUUUUCUUUUCCAAUAAAUUUUAAUUUUUAAGUGGUACAUACAUAUAAUAAAAACUUAAAUAGGAAAAAAAAAAAAAAAGACACCUAAAGGGCGUGUAACAGGAAAAGUCUGUAUUCUCUCUGUUUCACCUCUCUCACUUUCUAGUUUCACUGUCCAGAGUGACAUUCAAUUCCUUUAGCUCAGUCCACUGAUGGUAAACCUCCAUAUCUCUAAAGAAUAUGCUUAGUAGGCUGGUACUUGACUUUUUAACUGCUGAUAUUACUUUCAUCCUAUUAUAAGAAGCAUGAUAUGAAGUAUUUCACAACUUUGGCUAAGUCAACAGAAUGUACUAUCAGUCACUGAUGAACUAAAUAAUGUCCCAGAAAAUUAGCACAUACUUUUGUAAAUUUUUUUUAAUAUAUAGUUUUCUUCUCCAUUCUGUUUUCUGUCUCUGGAAUGACUGUUUUUCAGAUUAAAUCUCUAAUAUCCUAUAUUCUUUCUCAAUUUUUUUAUCACUGUUAUUACAUAUUCUUAGAACUAUUCUGUUCUUUAGCUUCUGAGCUUUUCUACUUAUUAAUUUUUAUGUAUCAACUUUCAAGCACUAUUUUUUGAUCUCUAAUUAUGCCUCUUUAAAAGUAUGGAUUUUAUAAUUUAGUGGAAGCACUGUCUUCUCUAAUCUCUUGAGGAUACGGAUUAUAGGAUUUAUUUCCCUUUUGUGUGUGUACACGUGUCUCUGUGUCUGUAUAUUUGUUAUUUCUUUUGCUUUUAUAGCUCUCAAAUUCUGCAUUUUCUUUCAAUGUCUUGUGAUUUUUGUCCAUAAACUUAUUUUUUUAAUUUUUUAAUGUUUAUUUAUUUUUGAGAGAGAAACAGUGCCAGCAGGGGAGGGGCAGAGAGAGAGGGAGACACAGAAUCUGAAGCAGGCUCAGGUUCUGAGCUGUCAGCACACAGCCCGAUGCGGGGCUCGACCCCGUGAACUGCGAGAUCAUGACCUGAGCUGAAGUCAGACACUCAACUGACUGAGCCACUGAGGGUCCCCUAAACUUAUUUUCUAAGAGCAAGGCUUGAAAAAAUUGUUGAUUAGCUCUGUUUUUUUUUAAUUAAUUAAUUUAUUUUGAGAAAGAGAGAGCAGGGGAGGGGCAGAAAGAGAAAGAGACAGAGAGAGAGAGAGAGAGAGAGAGACAGAGAGAGAGACAGAGAAUCCCAAGCAGGCUCUGCAGUGUCAGUGAGGGGCUUGAAUCCAUGAACUGUGAGAUCAUGACCUGAGCUGAAACCAAGAGUUGGACGCUUCACCGAAUGAGCCACCCGGGGAACCCCAAGAAGCUCUGUUUAGGAGGAGACGACUUGUCAGUUAUUGGCACCACCAGAGCACAGGUCAGUUUAGCUUUUCACUAGGUAUGUCCAAACAUCAGUAUCCAGAGGACUUUCGGACAGGAAUCUGCUGAGAAGUCCUUAUCCAUCUCCUAUGACAGGCAACGCAGGGCGAACAGGGUGCAGGAGGACCAACUUGUGUGCAAGCAUUCUGAAGUAGGUCCAGAGAAAAGAGUUGAGAAUUCCAUAAUCCUCCAUUUGCGUUUCCUUUUUUCCCCUACUUUAUUUUGUUCACCCCAAUUCUCUACUGUGUUUUGUGUCCCCCACAUCCAGAGAUUCUAUUCAAAUGAUCCACAAAAGAGCACCCAGCCUCCUGAGGGGGUGAGGGUGGAUGAUUUUCUAGAAAAACAGAAAUUAGGAUAUUGAUCUCACAAAAUUGGAAAAAUUUAAUAAUCUGUUUACCAUAAAGUAAAUAUUAUUUCUAUUUUAAAAACAUAAUUUAUUUUCAAUUGCACAAAUAUUAUAUUAAUCUAUUCUCUUUUGACCACAUUUGACCAAUACAAAUAAAAUCUUUUUCCGCUACAAUCAACUUCAAUCUCCUUCUCUCUUCUUAAUAAUAAAGUAUUACUAAUUUAAUACGUGUGCUUCAGUGACCUAUAGUCUGUGUACGAAAACUGAUUCUCAAUAUUUUUAUUAUAAUUUAUGUUCACGUUUCUUUAUUGUGGUGGUUCUCCAAGUGUUGUGCCCUGAUCAGCAGCAGUAGCAUCGUAUGUGAGGCUGCUAGACAUGCACAUUCAUGGGGCUAAAAUUAACAACUCGGGAAACAACAGAUGUUGGUGAGGAUGCAGAGAGGUUGUUACACUGUUGGUGGGAAUGCAAACUGGUGCAGCCACUCUGGAGAACAGUAAGGAAGUUCAUCAAAAAAUUAAAAAUAGAGAUAUCCUACGGCCCAGCAACUGAACUAAUAGGUAUUUAUCCAAAGGACAUAAAAAUGCUGAUUCGAAGGGGCACAUGCACCCCAGUGUUUAUAGCAGCCCUGUCAACAAUAGCCAAAGUAUGGGAAGAGCCCAAAUGUCCAUCGACGGAUGAAUGGAUAAAGAGGAAGUGGUAUUUGUAUACAAUGGAAUAUUACUUGGUAAUCCAAAAGAAUGCAAUCUUGCCAUUUGCAACAAUGUGGAUGGAACUAGAGUGUAUUAGGCUAAUCGAAAUAAGUCAGACAGAGAAAGACAAAUAUCGUAUGAUUUCACUCUUCUGUGGAACUUAAGAAAUGCAACAGUUGAACAUAGGGAAAGGGAAGGAAAAAUAAAAUUAGAACAGAAAGGGAGGCAAACCAUAAGAGACUCAUACAGAGAACAAACUGAGGGUUGCUGGAGAGGAGGUAUGUGUGGGGAUGGGCUAAAAUGGGUGAUGGGCAUUAAGGAGGGCACUUGUUGGGAUGAGCACUGGGUGUUAUAUGUAAGUGAUGAACCACUAAAUGCUACUUCUGAAACCAAUACUAUACUAUAUGUUAACUAACUGGAAUUUAAAUAAAAAAACAAAUGCACAUUCAUGGGCUCUACUCCAGAUCUACGACUGAAUCAGAAGCUCUGGCAAUGGGGAUUAGCAAUCUGACGUGCUCUGAAGUUCAAGAACCACGGAUCCUGAGAAUUCACAGUGAUGAUGGUAAAGACAGAUUAUGAAAAUUGGUCCAGAAGUCCAGUGUUAGACAAUGUUCAGAGAUGACAGAACAUGAUGUUUCCUGUCUCUUCGAAUACUUUUCAUGAAUACUUUUCAUGGUAGGUCAACGAAUAAUGAUAAUAGAAUUUAGAUCAUAGAGAACUUAAUCCUGGUCUUAUUGUUGAAUUCAGGGAAGAGAAAAUACUUAGAUUCCUCCGGCCCUCCCACUCUCCUAAAAAAUCUAGGGAAGCAGCAGGGUUAUUAGAGAUGACGGCAGUGGUGACACCCUUUUUCAAUGCUUAAUAAAAGCUGGACAGAAGCAAACGCUUUCUAUCACCAUCUCUUACCAAGCAGAGAAUAAGAUUACAUUUCUGGCUGUUUCAGUUCAGUUACACAUCAAAACUGUAUUUCCCUUUACACACUAGUAAAAACUUCAGAUUAAGAAUUUGGAGAAUCAGAUGCUUGCAGGGACUGGGCUGUUUCUUAAGCUGUGCACCAUUGGGAAAAUUACUUUUGCUCACUGGUCCCUAAUUUUUCCCAUGAGCAAAACAGAAAUUGGACUGUAUGACACUCUGUCAUCCCAAGAUCCUGAACACUGGUGAUACAAGGCAGAAGGAACUCUAAAACGAGAAGAUGCCUCCAGGAAAUUGGUUCCCGUCACCAAGUCAGAAAAACUCCAGAGCCUGGACAUUCCUUAUCUCAUCUCACUUUGGAGGACCUCAUGACUCAUGACUUAUCCUGCCUUUUCUUUCUUCUUCUACAACCUACCCAAGGCCAGCCUACAUCUCUCGGGUGGCACUCUGCUGCACACACCUGCCCCGGGAACACGUGCCGGGAAAGCAGCAGGUAGAGUGGUCCUUGCCAUGGAGGAGGGGCUGGAUUAGCGGGGGGCUCUGUGUGCUCCUGAUCAGUGAGCAGUGACAUGGCUGGGAGGCACUGGCCUGGUCAAAAGAAUGUUCUUUCACUUCUAGCCUGUUCUCAGCACGCUCCACAGAAUGUACUAUGCUGGCUAAGACUAAGAGUGUAGAUAACAUAGCCUCAAGCACAAUCCUAUCUCCUAAUUGGAAAAUUCCAGGACUGUAGGGGAAAGGUGAGGUGGUGGUGUUGAGCAUCAGGCGACAGGCAGCUUAACACACACAAUUUGAUUGAGAAAAAUGGAAUUAUUUUAUAGUCCAGUGGGGUCCGAAUUGUUAUUCUACUCAGAUCUUUAUUGCUUGGCCCUUGUUAAUUUAAUAAGCAAUCUGUAUCCCUAGUACAGAAAACAAAUAGGUUUUAUAAGAGAGGGUCUAAAACUGAAGUGGCAAUAACAUAACUGAGAACACAGUUUUAUUUAUUUUCCUCAGUGGCAGAUUGUAUUUUCUGUAAUUUCUGUGCAAACAAACCAAUAUGGUAUUCUUCUGAAGGGCAUAAUUGGAAUGACAAAACUGUGAAGUCUCCACUGACUGUACUACCAGGGAAAUGGACGCGGGGCCACAGUAAUUUAAUUUUACCAGGAGUUACUAUCGACUAGAUUACCACAAACACGAGGAAACUUCUGCAACACUUCUCACACACUUUGCCCCCAAAUAUUGCUUCUGCUUUGGAGAAAUUACUUUCCUAAAAUAGCACUUAAUUAAAAAACAUCUGUGUGUACGGUGAACAAUAACUACAUUAAUAUGAGUUAACCCUCUAAAGAAUAACUCUGGCAUCUUUUUCUUUGCAAAUGUCUCUGGGCGACGUGCCAGGAAAAUACAAUAAAAUUUACUAGCCUGAAAGUUGUGUCUUUCCUUUCCCUUUCUGUCUAUCCAUCAUCUAUGCCAUUCUUAAAAAAAAAAAUUCUUACGGUUUUACUCGAAAUUUGAGAACCUUGCUUUAUAAGGCAGAAAACUGCCUUAUAUUUUCAGUGUUACAGUUUGUUUCAAUGGCACGAUAUUACAGUCUCUUUGUAAAACCAUCAUCUUUCUUUGAAGUUGAUUCCAUACAUUUUCAAUGAUCUAUAUUUUACACAUACUGAUGCAAACCUUUCAUCACUACACCUCGCAGGGCUCUCAUCCCCGCCUUGUUGCACUUUGCAUGGUCUCUUCCUCUCUCUGAAUCAUAAGUCACGAGGAGGCAGGGCCAUUUCCAAAAUCAAUUCCUGGCAGAAGAGAAAGGGCCUCCAUGCAUCAGGAAACCAUUUCAAAGGUUAACAGUUUAUCCAAGGGCAUUAAUUAAACUUCUUUCAUAAAUAAAGGCUCAGUGCUGUCAAAAGGUGGAGUGCAUGAGGAGACAAUUCCAAGGCUAUAGCUUCCUUCACAAAAAAGAAAUGAAGCUCUUCUCAGACAAAGCCUAUUAAGCACAUUCACUUCCAGAUUGUUAGAUGUAACAAAUGAGCGGGAGAGACAGACAGCGGAAGAGCCCUUAAUUCAAGGAACAAAGGACACUUUCUAUGUUUUCUGGCAUUGUGGUCCCGUCUCUGAAAAAUUCCAAGAGCACCAAAGAAGGGGAUAAUUAAGCAAUGAUUAAUACCAAACCAAAGAUGACUCUUGAGGUUCAUUUGAUAUCAAUUUCCUUCAGGGAGAGUAUCUGCUUAUUCCUUAUAGCACUGAUCCCCAUCUAUAAGAUUAAAAAUUACACAGCCCUUAUUAAACAGUUUAAAAGAAGUGGAGAAUUUUCUUCCCUAAGCUUUGACUGAUGAGAUUCUCUGCCAAUUUAUAAAAUAAGAAAAAUGGAAAAAUUACAGAAUAAACCAUCAUAGUCACUUUUGUUAGUGAAUUUUUAUUUUUAGGUUCAUUUUCAGCAUUGGGCAAAAUAACAUCAAGGGCAAGGAAAUAAACAGCCUGACUUUUGUUGUCACAUGGGUACCAAGCCAUAUCAAGAUGAAGUGCAGGCAUUAGAAAAUUGUAAGUGAAUACUGGGCAAACAGACCCAGAGCAGCUUAGCCACUACUAGGCACGUAUUUCUUCGAUGUGAGUGAGAGACAUUGUUAUGGAUUACACAGAAAGUAGAUAAUGCGGAAAGAAAAAUCAGUUUAAAAUAUAUUUAAUAAAGGGGCACCUGGGUGGCUCAGUAAAACAUCCAACUCUUGAUUUUGGCUCAGGCCAUGAUCUCACGGUUCAUGAGUUCGAGCCCAGAUUUCGAGUCCCUGUUGGACUCUGUGCUGGCCGUGCAUAGCCUGCUUGGGAUUCUCUCUCUCUGCCCCUACCCCACUUGUUAUCCCUCUUUCUCUCUCUCUCAAAAUAAAUAAAUAAACUUUAAAAAAUGUUUAAUAAAAGUUCAAAAGAUAGUUUAAGAGGUCUUUUUUUUUUUUUUUGUAUAGAAAUUCAACUGAGUUUUAAGUGGAGACAUCAUAGCUGCUAAAUCUUUCAAAGCUAAUUGACACAAAGGGAUAAAGUAUAAUCAAUCCCUAAGCUUCAGCUUCAGGUUUUUAUUUUUGGUCAGAAGAACUCUUUCCAGGCAUCCAUUUGCAGUGGCUAGACAUUUUCCCUUUCUCUUGAAGACCCAAAUAGUUAAGGGCAGAAAAGCAAAUAAGGUGGAUUGUUUUUAAGGUGGACAAUGUCAGGGAUGGCCAGGCCUGGAUACUGGCUAAGUGGAUAAAGGCAAGGGAGACGCACCAAACGUCUGACCACUACUAGGUACAGGGGAUGGUACCACCCAGAAUCUAAAGCACCAGAGGCAGGGUUAGGGCCCAAGGUGCAGAGGAAUCAAGAAGAGAUGGGGAAUACCUCCCAGGACACAGAGACGUGCUUUGUUCCAUUCUGAGAGUAGAUUUUCUGACUGAGACAGAAUUGGCUUAAGAAACCAUAACUAGGACACACUAAAGAUUCAGCUACUUUAUUUUUUCUAAAUAUUUAUUUAUUGAGGGUGGGGGAAAGGGAGAGAGAGAGAGAGAAUCCUGAGCAGGCUCCACACUGUCAGCUUGGAGACCAACAAAUGACUCGACCUCACAAACUGUGAGACUAUGACCUGAGCCCAAACCAAGAGCUGGACACUUAGCUAACUGAGCCACCCAGGAACCCCAAGAUUCCCCCAUUUUAAAUCACGUGAUAUCCAAAUCUUCUCAUCAUAUAAAGAGAGGUUGGUAUAUUCUAUGUAGGGAACCAUACUAUAAUAGCAGGGAGUAUCUCAUUCAAAACUAAUCAGGGAAUCAAAACCCAGGGAGAAAGGGAGAUUUGGAGCCUUGCAGGGCCCUGGAAUUCACAGCCCAGAGACUAGAAUUGUGGAGACAUGGAAAUCAGAUGAGGGAUCCAAGAAUUCCAGAAUUGGAAUACAUGAAAAUAAAAAUCCCACAAAAUAGAUGAAUCUGACAAUUUUCAUCAAAAGAAGAUACAAAUACAUAAUAUUAUGAAUGAAAAGGGGCCCACACUACAAAUAGAAACUAAAAAGAUAAUGAGAACACUACCAAUAACUACGUUCCUAUAAUUUUGGAAUCUGAGAUGAAACAGAAAAAAUGUAAGGGAGAAUAUAUAUACAUGCAGACAUGAUUUCAAGAGGGUUAAAAGCUCAAGUAAUCUGUAGGUAUUAGAGAAGUUAGUCUGUAAAUCUUCAAAUAAAACAGCUAAAUAAAAAUAAAAAUAAAGAUACUGAAAUAAAACAGCAGAGCCAGGAGUUUUACAGAUGAAUUUUACCAAAUGUUCAAAAUGCAGACUAUUCUUUUUUUUUUUUUAAUUUAAGAAACUCUUUCUAAUGGUCAGAAAAGAGGGAAUAUCUAACUUAUUCCACAAGAGAAGUAUAAUCCUUAUAUCAAAAGCCAAAUAAGGCAUGUAAAAGGAUACUACACAUCAAUUUUACUCUUUAAAAUAUAUGUAAAAAUCCUAAAAAUAAUAGAGAUUUAAAAAACUAGAAAAUCAAAUCCAAUAUAUAUUUGGAAAGAGAAUAUACCAAGACAAGAUUGGGUUUACCCUAAAUAUAUAAAGAGGAAUUAUCUUUAAAAAAAUGUUCUUCGGUUAGAAUAUUGUAUACUAAGCUGGAUCCCCAUAACUGCUCUUAAAGGCAAGACUUUUUUCUUCUUUUUUUUUGGUAAAUUAUUGUAUUCCUAGUCCUCAAAACAGAUCUAUACCCAUAGCAGAUAGAUUAAUAAACUAAUUAUUGUGCUUGUUAAAGUGAAUGACAAAGGGUAUACAAUCUCAUACACUAUACAUUGAUAAAAUACACACCAUAUGUUAUCAUAUGAUAUGUAUGCAUUUUAAGUAAAGUAAUGGAAGUAUGUGUAACAUAAAGAAUAAAAGUAACUGAAGACUUAGGCAAAGGUGAACUAUGUAUAAGAAAGUAAAAAGAUAGCUUCUAAAACGGUCCCAAAUCCCUCACCUUUUCGUAUUCAUGCUUUUGUACAGUUCUCUUCCCUAGAAUAUAAGCUAGACCUAGUGACCUCCAUCAAAUGAACAGAAUACCCCAGCAGUGAUGGAACAUCACUUCCAAGAUCAGGUUACAAAAAGACAUUGACUUACAUUCUAUUCCCUCUCUAUUGCUUUCUCAGUUGCUUGCUCAAACUGCCAUGCAGUGAGCCAUCCUAUGAAAAGGGCCCUUUGGCAAGCAGUCAGAAACUAUGGAACACAAACCAGCAACUAUGGAAUACAAUCCAGCAAACUGUGAUGUGCUGAAUCCUGUCAGCAAUCAUGUGAGUGAGUUUGGAAGAUCUUCCUUUUGACAAGCUUUCAGAUGAGAAUACAGCCCAGGCCAAAAUCUGAUCACAAACUAUGAGGUCCUGGGGCAGAAGCACCCAGCAAAGCUGUAUCCACAGAAAUUGUGAGAAAAUAAAUGUUUGUUGCUUUUAAACGCUAACAUUUUGGGUAAUUUGUUAUGCAGCAAUAGCUAACUAAUACAGUUGGG